This is a long non-coding RNA of Daphnia pulicaria, 426 nucleotides long. RefSeq lists it as uncharacterized. The transcript has 2 exons. NCBI's taxonomy places the organism in Eukaryota, Metazoa, Arthropoda, Branchiopoda, Diplostraca, Daphniidae. The record is from RefSeq and is a predicted model, not a curated record.
UUGUUUUUCUACUUGUCGACCGUUGCGUUGACGUUCGUGCAUUCGUGGUGGCUUGAAGCUGUGCUGAAUUCAAAAGUUAUGAAUUAAGACCAAACCAUAGAAUGAAAAGAAGCUUCCGUUUGAUCAUUCAGCAACUUUAAUCAAUUUACAAUGUAUAGCUUACGAAAUUUUUCACAGAAAGAAAGAGAACUGAUGGAAUUUGCCGAGUUAGCUGGGAUUAUUAUGAAUCCUCGAAUAUUAAGAAGCAUCAUUGAACUUCUUCAAGCAAACACAUCCCCAGCAUCCAUUAUUCAAAUGUUAAGCGAGUUAUCCAUCUUUCGAGUACAAGAGAAGACUAGAAGACAAAAAAUGCUCAAACAUUUGAGUGAAAAAUAAUGCUGUAGAGAUGAUUUUGUUUCUCUUCAAAUAUAUUUUUAAUUCCCUUUG